UAAGUUUGAGUGCUAGCUCCUUUCUCUUA
RNAcentral lists this non-coding RNA (29 nucleotides) under Rattus norvegicus (Norway rat). The record is from RNAcentral. Lineage: Eukaryota; Metazoa; Chordata; Mammalia; Rodentia; Muridae.